AUGGUAGCAAAACUGCAUGGAAUACUGAGACCAUUUCUACUUCGGAGAAUGAAAUCUAAUGUCGAGCUAAUGCUCCCUCGGAAGAAAGAAAUCAUAAUAUAUUGGUUAUGAUUGAAGGAAGUUCACUUUGGGAAAUUGAUAGUCUUCGACACCAUUAUUGUCCUCCUGUUUCAAGGUUAGUUUUAUGCCUAGUAUCCCCGUACAAUCAAGUGUGUGAAGUGUUCAAGAGAGAGCUUGGCAUGACACCGGAUAAGUUGCUGGAUGGCCUGAAGAAGAAGAAUCCUGAUAAUGAAGUCCAUCUCAACAACGUAUAUUACAUCUCUUAAUCUCUCAAACCCUCCCAAAUUUGUAGACAAAUAAAAUUGUGUUGCCCUUACACAGAAGAUUCUGUUGCCCUUGUAAAAUCAUAAUCUUUGUAUUACUUGUAAUUUGUGUUUUCAAGGCUUGAAUUAUUGUACGCCUUUUAAAUUAUAAUUCUAUAGCAGAAUUUGUGGAUUAAAUAUAAUAGAUUUACAAUCCAUACAUGAAUAAUGUCAUAGCCAUAGUGUUCGAUGAUGAUAUGUCAUGUUAUA
Molecule: non-coding RNA, 572 nt
Organism: Benincasa hispida (wax gourd)
Lineage: Eukaryota; Viridiplantae; Streptophyta; Magnoliopsida; Cucurbitales; Cucurbitaceae
Source: RefSeq, a predicted model, not a curated record